Molecule: small RNA, 450 nt
Filed under: Pan troglodytes (chimpanzee)
Lineage: Eukaryota; Metazoa; Chordata; Mammalia; Primates; Hominidae
Description: processed transcript
Source: RNAcentral
GAAAGGAACCGUUGGUGCCAGUGGAGACCUUGCCCCACUCUCUCAUCUUGCUCUUGGGCUAAUUGGAGAAGGGAAGAUGUGGUCUCCAAAGAGUGGCUGGGCUGAUGCUAAAUAUCAUAAAGCAUCAUUUAAUGUAACAUCCCUGAUGAACUGCUGGGAGCUUCCCUGAUAGUAAGUGAAAGGGGUAGAGGGCCCCAGAAGAGGAAACAGCUAAGGAAAUAGAUAAUCCUUUUGGGGAUGCAGCUUCUAGAUCAUCUGUCUUCCGUGCAGGCUUGUCUUUGAUUAUUUCACUAUGGACAGCGUUUUCCUCCGACCACCCUCAUACAGCAAUCACCCUGACCUUUCUAAACAGCAAAUUCAAGCAUGUUCUGGUGAAAACUUGUAAUGCUUCCCAUUGUCCUCAGGAUAAAGGCUAAACUGAAAGUGGCUUUCAAGGGUCUUGUUUGUCAC